This 253-nucleotide ribosomal RNA is filed under the name uncultured bacterium. RNAcentral describes it as "partial 16S ribosomal RNA". It matches the Rfam family "Bacterial small subunit ribosomal RNA", at positions 524 to 776 of the family's 1533-position model. The record is from RNAcentral.
UACGGGGGGAGCAAGCGUUGUUCGGAUUUACUGGGCGUAAAGCGCGUGUAGGCGGCCAGGUAAGUCCGUUCUGAAAGCCCGGGGCUCAACCCCGGGAGGCGGAUGGGUACUGCUUGGCUCGAGUCCGGAAGAGGCGAGUGGAAUUCCCGGUGUAGCGGUGAAAUGCGCAGAUAUCGGGAGGAACACCAAUGGCGAAGGCAGCUCGCUGGGACGGUACUGACGCUGAGACGCGAAAGCGUGGGGAGCAAACAGG